CCAUCCUCUCGCGUCAAUCUUCUAGUCGCUCAACGGUUUUAUCAGGUUCCGGUUCACCGGACGCUCCUCCUUCUCAUCGCUCUCGCUCUCCUUCUCCACGAACGAAGCGAUUGAAGAGAAUUCAAUCUGAACGUGAAUCCAAACGCGAACACGACAGGAGCCAUAGCGGUAGCAGAGGGAGAGAUUCGGAGAGGGAAACAGUUGAGCGGAAUGAGAGGUCACCGGAGCAACACCAUAACAGGAGGAGCAGGCAUAGGUCUCAGUCGCCCCAUCGUCACUCGUCCGCCGCCGCCGCCGCAAACUCAAAGCCUCGUGAUGAGGUGUCUGGAAUGAAGAAGAUGAUUCCAUUAUGAAGAUGAAGGCUGCUGAAGAGGCUCUGGAAGAAAAACAGAAGGUAAAACUUUCAUUUGAGCUAUCAGGAAAACUUGCGGCUGAAACGAAUCGUGUCAGAGG
This is a long non-coding RNA of Trifolium pratense (red clover), 453 nucleotides long. RefSeq lists it as uncharacterized. The record is from RefSeq and is a predicted model, not a curated record. The transcript is spliced from 3 exons. Lineage: Eukaryota; Viridiplantae; Streptophyta; Magnoliopsida; Fabales; Fabaceae.